UACACUCCUGCGGGAGGCAGCAGUGGGGAAUUUUGGACAAUGGGCGAAAGCCUGAUCCAGCAAUGCCGCGUGAGUGAAGAAGGCCUUCGGGUUGUAAAGCUCUUUUGUCAGGGAAGAAACGGUGAGAGCUAAUAUCUUUUGCUAAUGACGGUACCUGAAGAAUAAGCACCGGCUAACUACGUGCCAGCAGCCGCGGUAAUACGUAGGGUGCAAGCGUUAAUCGGAAUUACUGGGCGUAAAGCGUGCGCAGGCGGUUUUGUAAGUCUGAUGUGAAAUCCCCGGGCUCAACCUGGGAAUUGCAUUGGAGACUGCAAGGCUAGAAUCUGGCAGAGGGGGGUAGAAUUCCACGUGUAGCAGUGAAAUGCGUAGAUAUGUGGAGGAACACCGAUGGCGAAGGCAGCCCCCUGGGUCAAGAUUGACGCUCAUGCACGAAAGCGUGGGGAGCAAACAGGAUUAGAAACCCGGGUAGUCCC
Molecule: ribosomal RNA, 473 nt
Filed under: uncultured organism
Description: partial 16S ribosomal RNA
Rfam family: Bacterial small subunit ribosomal RNA
Source: RNAcentral